UACGUAGGUGACAAGCGUUGUCCGGAUUUACUGGGCGUAAAGAGCGCGCAGGCGGUCGUUCAAGUCGAGUGUGAAAGCCCCCGGCUCAACUGGGGAGGGUCAUUCGAUACUGAUCGACUCGAAGGCAGGAGAGGGUAGUGGAAUUCCCGGUGUAGUGGUGAAAUGCGUAGAUAUCGGGAGGAACACCAGUGGCGAAGGCGACUACCUGGCCUGUUUCUUGACGCUGAGGCGCGAAAGCUAGGGGAGCAAACGGG
Molecule: ribosomal RNA, 254 nt
Filed under: uncultured bacterium
Lineage: Bacteria
Description: partial 16S ribosomal RNA
Rfam family: Bacterial small subunit ribosomal RNA
Source: RNAcentral